This 700-nucleotide ribosomal RNA is filed under the name uncultured bacterium. RNAcentral's name for it is "bacterial SSU rRNA". It matches the Rfam family "Bacterial small subunit ribosomal RNA", at positions 56 to 749 of the family's 1533-position model. The record is from RNAcentral.
UGCAAGUCGAUCGGUAACAGGUGUAGCAAUACAUGCUGACGAGAGGCGGACGGGUGAGGAAUAUUUGGGAAUCUGCCCAUCAGCGGGGGACAACCCGGGGAAACCCGGGCUAAUACCGCAUACGCUCUACGGAGGAAAGCCGGGGACCGCAAGGCCUGGCACUGAUGGAUGAGCCCAAAUCGGAUUAGCUAGUUGGCGGGGUAACGGCCCACCAAGGCGACGAUCCGUAGCUGGUCUGAGAGGACGAUCAGCCACACCGGAACUGAGACACGGUCCGGACUCCUACGGGAGGCAGCAGUGGGGAAUAUUGGACAAUGGGGGAAACCCUGAUCCAGCGACGCCGCGUGGGUGAAGAAGGCCUGCGGGUUGUAAAGCCCUUUCGGUAGGGACGAAAGCUCUUGCUCUAAUAAUGCAAGAGGUUGACUUAACCUACAUAAGAAGCACCGGCUAACUCUGUGCCAGCAGCCGCGGUAAUACAGAGGGUGCGAGCGUUAAUCGGAAUUACUGGGCGUAAAGCGUACGUAGUCGGCUUGCCAAGUCGGGUGUGAAAUCCCCGGGCUCAACCUGGGAACUGCAUCCGAAACUGGCUUGCUAGAGUAUGGGAGAGGGAGGCGGAAUUUCUGGUGUAGCAGUGAAAUGCGUAGAUAUCAGAAGGAACAUCAGUGGCGAAGGCGGCCUCCUGGACCAAUACUGACGAUCA